AGUAAUACAUCGGAACGUGCCCUGUAGUGGGGGAUAACUAGUCGAAAGAUUAGCUAAUACCGCAUACGACCUGAGGGUGAAAGUGGGGGACCGGCAAGGCCUCAUGCUAUAGGAGCGGCCGAUGUCUGAUUAGCUAGUUGGUGGGGUAAAGGCCCACCAAGGCGACGAUCAGUAGCUGGUCUGAGAGGACGAUCAGCCACACUGGGACUGAGACACGGCCCAG
RNAcentral lists this ribosomal RNA (223 nucleotides) under uncultured bacterium. RNAcentral describes it as "partial 16S ribosomal RNA". It matches the Rfam family "Bacterial small subunit ribosomal RNA", at positions 109 to 334 of the family's 1533-position model. The record is from RNAcentral.